AACGCACAUGGCGCCCGCCAGCACUCUGGCGGGCAUGCCUGUCCGAGCGUCGCCUCCACCCGUCGGCCCGGCCGUGCUGGGGCACAGCGGCAGCGCUGGCCCCGAAAGGGAGUGGCGGGGCCGCCGCCGCGCCGAGCGUAGUAGCACACGUCGCUCCGGUGCGGGGGCGCCCCCGGCCUCGAAACGCAGACCCAACGACGACCUCGGAUCAGGUAGGAAUACCCGCUGAACUUAA
This 235-nucleotide unclassified non-coding RNA is filed under the name uncultured fungus. Its description in RNAcentral is "sequence contains ITS2". Lineage: Eukaryota; Fungi. The record is from RNAcentral.